AACGUAGGAGACGAGCGUUAUCCGGAUUUACUGGGCGUAAAGCGUGUGCAGGCGGUUCGGCAAGUUGGAUGUGAAAUCUCCCGGCUCAACUGGGAGGCGUCGUUCAAUACUACCGGACUUGAGGGCAUCAGAGGAAGGUGGAAUUCCCGGUGUAGUGGUGAAAUGCGUAGAUAUGCGGAGGAACACCGAUGGCGAAGGCAAUCCCCUGGGCCUGCACUGACGCUCAUGCGCGAAAGCGUGGGGAGCAAACAGG
Molecule: ribosomal RNA, 253 nt
Filed under: uncultured bacterium
Lineage: Bacteria
Description: partial 16S ribosomal RNA
Rfam family: Bacterial small subunit ribosomal RNA
Source: RNAcentral